GAUGAACGCUGGCGGCGUGCCUAAUACAUGCAAGUCGAGCGAACAGACGAGGAGCUUGCUCCUCUGACGUUAGCGGCGGACGGGUGAUUAACACGUGGAUAACCUACCUAUAAGACUGGGAUAACUUCGGGAAACCGGAGCUAAUACCGGAUAAUAUAUUGAACCGCAUGGUUCAAUAGUGAAAGCCGGUUUUGCUGUCACUUAUAGAUGGAUCCGCGCCGCAUUAGCUAGUUGGUAAGGUAACGGCUUACCAAGGCAACGAUGCGUAGCCGACCUGAGAGGAUGAUCGGCCACACUGGAACUGAGACACGGUCCAGACUCCUACGGGAGGCAGCAGUAGGGAAUCUUCCGCAAUGGGCGAAAGCCUGACGGAGCAACGCCGCGUGAGUGAUGAAGGUCUUCGGAUCGUAAAACUCUGUUAUUAGGGAAGAACAAAUGUGUAAGUAACUAUGCACGUCUUGACGGUACCUAAUCAGAAAGCCACGGCUAACUACGUG
This 497-nucleotide ribosomal RNA is filed under the name uncultured bacterium. RNAcentral describes it as "partial 16S ribosomal RNA". It matches the Rfam family "Bacterial small subunit ribosomal RNA", at positions 28 to 507 of the family's 1533-position model. The record is from RNAcentral.